GGAGGCGUGGUGUAGCUGGCCUAACAUAACAGACUGUCGAUCUGUAGACCGCGGGUUCGAAUCCCGUCGCCUCCGCCA
This 78-nucleotide transfer RNA is filed under the name Bacillota bacterium. Its description in RNAcentral is "tRNA-Asp". It matches the Rfam family "tRNA". Rfam says of the family: Transfer RNA (tRNA) molecules are approximately 80 nucleotides in length. Their secondary structure includes four short double-helical elements and three loops (D, anti-codon, and T loops). Further hydrogen bonds mediate the characteristic L-shaped molecular structure. tRNAs have two regions of fundamental functional importance: the anti-codon, which is responsible for specific mRNA codon recognition, and the 3' end, to which the tRNAs corresponding amino acid is attached (by aminoacyl-tRNA synthetases). tRNAs cope with the degeneracy of the genetic code in two manners: having more than one tRNA (with a specific anti-codon) for a particular amino acid; and 'wobble' base-pairing, i.e. permitting non-standard base-pairing at the 3rd anti-codon position. The record is from RNAcentral. Lineage: Bacteria; Bacillati; Bacillota. RNAcentral also lists the same sequence under 1 other name.